Molecule: long non-coding RNA, 1385 nt
Organism: Pezoporus occidentalis (night parrot)
Lineage: Eukaryota; Metazoa; Chordata; Aves; Psittaciformes; Psittacidae
Exons: 2
Source: RefSeq, a predicted model, not a curated record
AUCCAGUACACCCGGAGCAAGGGCACCGGCGCAGACAAUAGCGACAUGGCCGCCUCCCGCCCCGCGGCGGCUGGCUCGGGGCGAGGUGAAGGGCUGCUCCUGCUGCCGAAUCCCAUGGGCAUCGCUCUGCCUGGGCUCGACCCCUGCCACCUCGGGCAUCCGUCAGGCUUCCUCCUCUCGCGGUCGCGGCUCUGGCAGUUGCAGAUGCAAUUUAGGAACACAGAAUAGCUAGAUUGGAAAGACCUGUAAGAUCAUCAAGUCCAACCUCUACCCCAGGAUUGCCAGCGCCACCACUAAACAAUGUCACUAAGGGCCUCAUCUGCCCUGUUCGUGAACACUUCCAGGGAUAGUGACAUUUCUCCAAAUGCAGCUUUAUGCUCAAAGCCUCCCUGAAUCUUAUACAAGCCUGAAUUUUAUACAAGCCUGAUGAACACAUUCUUUACAGUGAUACCUACUAUGUAAUGUGGUUUACAUCUAAAGGUUUGUCAAGUUUUAAAUUCUAAGCCUUAUUUUUAAGACUUGAACUACUUGGAACAGAGUACUUCCUACCUACCAGUCCUUCUGGUAGACAGCAGUUCUCCACUACAGGAAAUAGAGCGCUUAGCCCUGACAUUGUGGUUUUCAUGCACAGAACUGCUGGGUUUUGUAAUGGCAGUAGAGCCUCAGUAUCAAUAGAAAACAAAAAAAAUAGUCAUUUCACAAGGGGAGAGGUUGACCUCUAUAUUCAAUUUAAGGGCCUUCGGUAACAUUUUGAGGAUGAUGGGGAGUCAUACGAAGUUUGGAAGAGCAUUUGGAAUGUAAUCUCUUUAAAAAAAUAAACAAACAUGCUUUCUAGAAAAAAUAAAAUUAACAAUAUACUUUUUCAACGUCAGAUCAGAUUGCUCAGUAGAACUGACUUUCUGUAUCCUGUCGGAAAUAUACAUCAAGUAAAACCAUAGUGUGCAGCUACUCCAGGACAAACCCAACCAUUUAAUUGUAUGUAUCUCUGGUGAAUUACAGGGUUUUUUAUUAACACAUGAAAUUAUGCAAAGAUAAAUAAGAAACAGAGCAUCAUGAAGUCACAUCAAGGAAGGAUUCAUUCUUAAUGUAUAUCAUUCUCAGCCAUGCACGGAGUGGUAGAAAGAGCAUCACAUAAAAAGACAUGAAAGAAGAAGCACUGACAUUUAGUAAAGGUGAAUUAUGCUUUCAACUUAUCUCAGUUAAAAUCAAAUAUUGACUCCUUUAUGUUCUCUUACAACCUUUUCUCACAACUAGAGCAUUAAUGAAAGCACUUUGCAACAUUAAACUGUGGAACUUGCCUACAGUGUAUUUACACGAUCUGUAUAUAAAUAUAUUAUGCUUUCUCAGGGUUUCUAGUAUAAUAAAAUCAAUUGAUGUGUAUUCAA